CCGACGGUGAGGGGUGAAAGCUCGGGUCACGAACCGGAUUAGAUACCCGGGUAGUCCGAGCUGUAAACGAUGUCUGCUAGGUGUGCCACAGGCUACGAGCCUGUGGUGUGCCGUAGGGAAGCCGUGAAGCAGACCGCCUGGGAAGUACGUCCGCAAGGAUGAAACUUAAAGGAAUUGGCGGGGGAGCACUACAACCGGAGGAGCCUGCGGUUUAAUUGGACUCAACGCCGGACAUCUCACCAGCAUCGACAGUAGCAAUGAAAAUCAGUGUGAUGAGCUUAUCGGAGCUACUGAGAGGAGGUGCAUGGCCGCCGUCAGCUCGUACCGUGAGGCGUCCUGUUAAGUCAGGCGACGAGCGAGACCCGCACUCCUAAUUGCCAGCAACACCCUUGUGGUGGUUGGGUACAUUAGGAGGACUGCCAGUGCCAAACUGGAGGAAGGAACGGGCAACGGUAGGUCCGCAUGCCCCGAA
This 472-nucleotide ribosomal RNA is filed under the name uncultured Natronococcus sp. RNAcentral describes it as "bacterial SSU rRNA". It matches the Rfam family "Archaeal small subunit ribosomal RNA", at positions 691 to 1160 of the family's 1478-position model. Lineage: Archaea; Methanobacteriati; Methanobacteriota; Halobacteria; Halobacteriales; Natrialbaceae. The record is from RNAcentral.